UACAGAGGUCUCAAGCGUUGUUCGGAUUCAUUGGGCGUAAAGGGUGCGUAGGUGGCAAAGUAAGUUGGAUGUGAAAUCCUGGGGCUCAACCUCAGAAUUGCAUUCAAUACUGCUUAGCUAGAGAGCUGUAGAGGAGACUGGAAUUUACGGUGUAGCAGUGAAAUGCGUAGAUAUCGUAAGGAACGCCAGUGGCGAAAGCGAGUCUCUGGGCAGCAUCUGACACUGAGGCACGAAGGCCAGGGGAGCAAACGGG
RNAcentral lists this ribosomal RNA (253 nucleotides) under uncultured bacterium. Its description in RNAcentral is "partial 16S ribosomal RNA". It matches the Rfam family "Bacterial small subunit ribosomal RNA", at positions 524 to 776 of the family's 1533-position model. The record is from RNAcentral.